GUUUCAGCGUCACAAACUUUUUUGUUUUCGCGCCAGAAGACUUUUAACACUAUUUAUGUUAUGAAAGAGUACGAAAAAAAGAUUAUAUUCUUUUUUUUUUUUUGAAAAAAAAAAAAAAAAAACUUUUCCCCCCCCAAUAAAUCACUGAUGAAAUAAAGCAACGGGACCACCAUAGUAUUUUUGUUUUUUAACUCCUCCCAAGGAAAGGGUGGUUAUUGGAUCAUUUACUAAUUUAAG
This 237-nucleotide unclassified non-coding RNA is filed under the name Hevea brasiliensis (rubber tree). The record is from RNAcentral. Lineage: Eukaryota; Viridiplantae; Streptophyta; Magnoliopsida; Malpighiales; Euphorbiaceae.